GAUGAACGCUGGCGGCGUGCCUAAUACAUGCAAGUCGAGCGAACAGAGGAGGAGCUUGCUCCUCUGACGUUAGCGGCGGACGGGUGAGUAACACGUGGAUAACCUACCUAUAAGACUGGGAUAACUUCGGGAAACCGGAGCUAAUACCGGAUAAUAUAUUGAACCGCAUGGUUCAAUAGUGAAAGACGGUUUUGCUGUCACUUAUAGAUGGAUCCGCGCCGCAGUAGCUAGUUGGUAAGGUAACGGCUUACCAAGGCAACGAUGCGUAGCCGACCUGAGAGGGUGCACGGACACUCUAAAAGAGACACGGGCCACAGUCCUAUGGGAGACGCAAGAGGGGAAAAUUUUCCGAUGGGGGCAAGAGUGAUACAGCGCAGCCGCGCGUGAGAGGAGGGUCUUUGGAUAUCAAAAAACUCUGUUAUGAGAGGAAAACAAGUGUGUAAGUACCUAUGCGUGUCUACGCUAUACACAAACAGAGAGCCGGGUAACUCCGUG
RNAcentral lists this ribosomal RNA (495 nucleotides) under uncultured bacterium. Its description in RNAcentral is "partial 16S ribosomal RNA". It matches the Rfam family "Bacterial small subunit ribosomal RNA", at positions 28 to 507 of the family's 1533-position model. The record is from RNAcentral.